This 1300-nucleotide long non-coding RNA is filed under the name Brassica napus (rape). Its description in RNAcentral is "long non-coding RNA (BNAP_LNC006035)". The record is from RNAcentral. Lineage: Eukaryota; Viridiplantae; Streptophyta; Magnoliopsida; Brassicales; Brassicaceae.
GUAAAUCGUAACUAAUUGAGCACCUGUGUCCGAAGAUCCUCAAGGCCUAAUUUUGCUUGUAGAAUCUGUAGAGUGGUCUGCUCAUGUUGGACGCUCAAGGAGUAUGCUUCCAUCAGAGAAAGAGCAAUAGCAAUGGCAUGGUAACUUGCAGCAGUCUGACAAAAAGUAAGAGAAGUAAAUUUUUAUCUAAGCGCUUCAUUUUUCUUCCAACGUAAUAUUUACUGAUUAAGCUUAAGGCUUCAUCGCAUGGGAGGUCAGAAUUUAACUAUUAACUUUGGAUCCGGUCUGACUUACAGCCAACUAUUUACUUAUGUAGUAUCCUUUUUUCCGUGGUUUAUGGACGUCGGUUAGACAGAGGGCAUUAAAUUAAAUGCAAGUCCUUGCUUAGCAAAACCAACCUGGAUAUGAUCAGCUCCAAGUAGUCUCUGGUUACAUUUCAACGCUUCAUGAAGGUAUCUUAAAGCCACAUGGACAUUCCCCAAACCUUCUUCCAUCAUCGCUACAUUAAUAUAAGUGGCAGCAGUAUUUGGAUGUGACGGUCCACAUGUUAGAUGCAGAAGGUACAAUGCACGGUUGACAUACCUACAACAAGAAUAACAUGUUAGCAGAUGGGGAAAAAAUAAACUUUAGGCUUUAACUUUGAAUCAAAAUACUCAAGCCACGCAGCCGCAUCCUAACAUAGUUCUGGAAUGUAAGAAACUUUUAAACUGAAACUCCCUGUAAAUCGUAACUAAUUGAGCACCUGUGUCCGAAGAUCCUCAAGGCCUAAUUUUGCUUGUAGAAUCUGUAGAGUGGUCUGCUCAUGUUGGACGCUCAAGGAGUAUGCUUCCAUCAGAGAAAGAGCAAUAGCAAUGGCAUGGUAACUUGCAGCAGUCUGACAAAAAAGUAAGAUAAGUAAAUUUUUAUCUAAGGGCUUCAUUUUUCUUCCAACGUGAUAUUAACUGAUUAAGCUUAAGGCUUCAUCGCAUGGGAGGUCAGAAUUUAACUAUUAACUUUAGAUCCGGUCUGACUUACAGCCAACUAUUUACUUAUGUUAUCCUUUUUUCCGUGGUUUAUGGACGUCGGUUAGACAGAGGGCGUUAAAUUGCAACCAAUCAAGUGCUUAACAAAACCAACCUGGAUAUGAUCAGCUCCAAGUAGUCUCUGGUUACAUUUCAACGCUUCAUGAAGGUAUCUUAAAGCCACAUGGACAUUCCCCAAACCUUCUUCCAUCAUCGCUACAUUAAUAUAAGUGGCAGCAGUAUUUGGAUGUGACGGUCCACAUGUUAGAUGCAGAAGGUACAAUGCACGGUUGACAUAC